CCCUAGCCCAGAUUGUAAUGAAAAGUACGAGAAUCCAAAAGGGAUUUUUUGUUGCUACAAAAGAGCGACCAGCGGAAGCUCCUUUUGUGGCAAACAAAAAACCCUUUUGGAUGGAGGACUUGUAAUGGAAAGCUGGAUGAACU
RNAcentral lists this small RNA (143 nucleotides) under Flavobacterium branchiophilum. Its description in RNAcentral is "Flavo-1 RNA". The record is from RNAcentral. Lineage: Bacteria; Pseudomonadati; Bacteroidota; Flavobacteriia; Flavobacteriales; Flavobacteriaceae.